This is an unclassified non-coding RNA of Octopus bimaculoides (California two-spot octopus), 2915 nucleotides long. NCBI's taxonomy places the organism in Eukaryota, Metazoa, Mollusca, Cephalopoda, Octopoda, Octopodidae. The record is from RefSeq and is a predicted model, not a curated record.
GUUAAUCUACAAAUGGGCUGGUAAAAUCAAUCCUUUUCUUCCUCUGCUAAUUCUGAUUAGAAAGUAUUUGCAGAGAUAAUUGUUGCUGUUGUAUUUUUCAGAACUAGUCUCAGUUUCAUGAUUCUCUCACACACUCUGACUACUUUGAUUACCUUAUCUAACCAUUUCUCUACCAGAAGUAUUACCUACAUCUCUCAUGCCAUCACUAUCGCCCACCCAGAAUUUAUAUCUUUGUUCCUUAGUCAUGAGAAUUCAAGCUGAGCCUCCCUUCCAUCUUAUCUUUUGCACACAGCACACAUCUACAUACCUUCAUUGUAGCACUUCAACAAUCUCACCAGACCUACCUUCAUUGAUUGUGGCUGUUCUUGAGUUGUGGAUUCAUUGGGAAGAGCAAGAGAGUAGUGUCUGAAAAGAAGGCGGCUUGUGCAAAGUUUGUGUAGAAGCAGAGAGCUCUUGCACGUGUCUAAAUAAUAAUGAUUAAUAUUAUUAUAUAUGUGUGUGUAUGUAUCUAUAUGUGUGUGUGCAUACAUAUUAGAAAAAUAAAAUCUUGGGUGACAUUUGAUCUUUGCAUGAACUUUGGUAUAUUAUUGCACACAGAACCUAUAAAUAGUAACCUUAGAUUAGACAAUUUGUGAGAAAUAUACCAGACAUGGUUUAUUCCCUACCCUUUACUACAUUUUUUACAAACUUUACCUCAUUGUUCUUAUGUGAUUUACAGACCACAUUAGAGCUUUUGUGCAGUUAACCUACUAAAAUAGCAAUCAAAUCUCCCCCAAAUCACAUGUAUAUCAUCAUAAAAAAGAAAGAACACAUUGGGUAGUGUAGCUUCAAAUUUACUGUCUCAAAACAGGAGUUUGGUCAACUUGGAGAAAUAUGGUAAUGCUAGCAUCCAGCUGCACCAGAGACCUCGGAUUGUCACAGUAUUUCUGAACCCAGCUGUCAGUCGAGGCAAAGGUGUGAAAAUGUUUGAGAAAAAUGCAGCACCAUUGCUUCACCUUGCUGGUAUUGUGGUCAACGUUGUGAAGGUCAGUAGCAUAUCUCAUGUUGUAGUUUUAAAGACAAUUCCUAUUUAAUCUGUUACAUUUAGCUGUCAUAUGUGUGUGACCGGCAAAUUCCACUACGGAAAAUUUCACUGCAGUAUAUUCCACUAAAGUAAAUUCCACUCAGAAAAUAACAGUCUAUAGCAACUAAUUACACAUGCCCUUGUUACACACUUCUUAACUAAUUAGUUGUUAGUUAAAUUCCACUUGGAAAAUUUCACUGUAGGUAAAAUUCACUCCAGUAUAUUCCACUAAGGUAAAUUUGACUACAGUAAACAGUCUAUAGAAAACUAAUUACACACGCCCCUGUUACACACUUCUCAAAUAAUUCUAAUUAGUCGUUAGUUAAAGUAUAGGUUUAUGCAACUGAAUUUCACUGUAUUGCUAAUUUUUUUCUAUUCAGUUUAACUUUGAAACCCUCUGCCAUAGCAACAUUUAUAACAUCAGAGAAGAACAAACAUAAGCUUUGCAAUGAAGAGAAUCAUAUAUACGCAAAGAAUGGAUUCAACAGUAGCAAAAUAAAAAUAUAUUGGCAUUGUGAAUGUUAUUACAAAGGUUGCCGGGAUACAUUACUACAACUUUCAACUCCAGUAUACCAGAAGUUACUUUUUCAACAGGCUCCCACAAUCACUCAGCAAGCAGUGCACACAUUAAUGUUUGAAAGGCAGUUAAUUCAAUGAAAAGUGAAGUAAUGAGAACAGGCACAGUAUCUACAUGGGAAGUAAUAGCUACUGCUGUACAAAAUCUCAAUGCGGAAGCACAAUCAUUGUUGCAAACUAUUCCUGGACUUUCACGUAACAUACAUAAUUGGAGGUAGCAUGCUUUAGGAAUCCCAGCACUUCCAACUUGUCGUUCAGAGUUUGAAAUUCGAGAUGCAGUUAAGUACUUAGAAAAUGGGUUCUUGUUUUUGGUCAUUGGCAUUGAUGACUCAGACAAAAUUUUAUUUUUUUCCUAAAAAAAAGGCUCGGAUGAUCAAGAAAGCUCUGAAAAUUGGGCCUGUGAAAAUUGGGCUUUUAAGGUGUCUCCUGGUUUGUGGUGUCAGCUUUCAUGCUACAUAUCAUUAUUUGAGGGUCAUGUGUGCCCAGGCUAUUUGCCUUACUUCCUGACAAUAAGAAGCCUCAUAUCAUUGUGUUCUGUCUGCUGUGCAGGAUUUAAAGGUAAAUUGUUAACCUGCUACCUGUCUCAUAGACUUUGAUAAAGCUCUCCAUAAUUAAUUUGUUUCUGUAUUUCCGCAUUUAGAAGUAGUUGGGUGUGUUUUUCAUCUCAGACAGUCUAUUUGGCAGAAGGUAUGUGCACUUGGUGAGAGUAAGAGAUACAACACAGAUGAAAGUUUUUAGCUUAAAAUUGUUUUUGUGUUUUAGCAUUUUUACCAAUUGAAGAUGUUGUCAGUGGAUUUCAAGAUUUGUCUGAUGAUGAAAGCAUCCCUUCUUAGUUUAUCACUUACUUUGAGAAUUCAUACAUUGGGACUGUAAGGGGGCGUGGUCUUCAUCGAUGAAGAGAAAUCCCCCAGUUUCCUAUCCAACCCUGGAAUAUAUGCAACCACAUUUUAAAUGACUUGCCAAGAGCAAAUAAUUUGGUAGAAGGGUUCCACAAUGCUUUGCGGUCAUCGAUAACAUCCACACAUCCAAAUUUGUGGAAACUUUGCAAUGCCUUUAAGACUGAAGAAGACUUAAGCCAGACAAAAAUUGCACACAAAUGAUUGAUACACGACUAAAGAAGCUAUACCGGAGCCUUUCUCUGUCUCCAUACCCUUAAUUGCUUUAUCUACCAAGGUACUGUCAAUUUGAAUAGCUGGUCCCUCUGUUGGGUCAACAUUUGGCAAACUCUCUUUCUCCCAUUCAUUCUCUUCAUUUAGCAACUUUUCAUAACGGCAUC